UACGUAGGCAGCAAGCGUUGUUCGGAGUUAUUGGGCGUAAAGAGCUCGUAGGCGGCUUGUCGCGUCGACUGUGAAAACUUGGGGCUCAACCCCAAGCCUGCAGUCGAUACGGGCAGGCUAGAGUUCGGUAGGGGAGACUGGAAUUCCUGGUGUAGCGGUGAAAUGCGCAGAUAUCAGGAGGAACACCGAUGGCGAAGGCAGGUCUCUGGGCCGAUACUGACGCUGAGGAGCGAAAGCGUGGGGAGCGAACAGG
This 253-nucleotide ribosomal RNA is filed under the name uncultured bacterium. RNAcentral describes it as "partial 16S ribosomal RNA". It matches the Rfam family "Bacterial small subunit ribosomal RNA", at positions 524 to 776 of the family's 1533-position model. The record is from RNAcentral.